UACGGAGGGUGCGAGCGUUAAUCGGAAUAACUGGGCGUAAAGGGCACGCAGGCGGGCUUUUAAGUGAGAUGUGAAAUCCCCGGGCUUAACCUGGGAAUAACAUUUCAGACUGGGAGUCUAGAGUACUUUAGGGAGGGGUAGAAUUCCACGUGUAGCGGUGAAAUGCAUAGAGAUGUGGAGGAAUACCGAAGGCGAGGGCAGCCCCUUGGGAAUGCACUGACGCUCAUGUGCGAAAGCGUGGGGGGCAAACAGG
This 253-nucleotide ribosomal RNA is filed under the name uncultured bacterium. RNAcentral's name for it is "partial 16S ribosomal RNA". It matches the Rfam family "Bacterial small subunit ribosomal RNA", at positions 524 to 776 of the family's 1533-position model. The record is from RNAcentral.